This 1227-nucleotide ribosomal RNA is filed under the name Platygaster sp. ZJUH_2016029. RNAcentral's name for it is "16S ribosomal RNA". The record is from RNAcentral. Lineage: Eukaryota; Metazoa; Arthropoda; Insecta; Hymenoptera; Platygastridae.
UUUUUAGUUAAUAAUAUUUUAAAAAUUUUAUUUAAUAAUAUUUUAAAAAAAAUUAAUUAAUUAGUGUAAUAUUAAUAAUAAAAUGAAUUUAUUUUUAAUUGAAAAAGUUUAUUUUUAAAAUAUUAUAAGAAUAAUUUAAUUUUUAUACCUUUUGUAUUAGGAUUAAUUUAAUUUUUUAUAAAUAUUUAUAAUUUUAGAAAUUUAAUGAUAUAAAAUAAAAUUUACUUUAAUAUAAAAUUAUUAUUAUAAAUUUUAUUUUAGGAAUGAUAUAUUUAUCAAAUUAAAUGAUAUUUAAUUUUUAAAGAAAUAAAUUUAAUUUUAUUUAUAUUAAUUAUUAUUUAAAUUUAUUUAUUAAUAAUUUUUAUAAUUUUAAAAUAAUAGGGUUAAAUUUAUUAUUUUUAAUUAAAAUAUUUAAUUUAAUAUUAAAUUAAUUUAAGUAAUAAAAUUAUAUUAAAAUUAUAAUAUUAAUAUAAAAUAUUAAUUUUAAUUAUAUUUUAAUUAUAUUUAAUUAUUUAUUUAAAAUUUUAUUUUAAUAAUUAUUUUAAAUUUAUAAUGAUUAAAUUAGUAAUAAAAUUUUUAUAUAAUUAUAAUUUAUUUAUAAUAUUUUUUUAAGAAUUAAGCAAUUUUAAUUUUUAUUUGUUUAAUAAAAACAUGUUUUUAUGAAUUUAAUUUUAGAUUGAUUCUGUUCAAUGAUAUUUAAAUAAUUGCAAUAUAUUUAUUGUACUAAGGUAGCAUAAUAAUUUGAGUUUUAAUUUGAUUCUAGAAUGAAAGAGUUAAUAAAAAAUUUAUUUUUUUUUAAUUUUAAAUUGAAUUUAAUUUAAGAAUAAAAAAGUUUUUAUAUAAUUAAUAGACGAGAAGACCCUAUAGAAUUUAAUUUAUUAAAAUUUAAUUUAUAAAUUGAUUUAUAAUAAAUUUAAUUGGGAUGAUUUAAAAAUUAAUUUAACUUUUUAUUGAUAAAAUUUAUAAAAUUUUAAUUUGAAUUUAAUUUUUAAUUAUUAAAUAAAUUACCUUAGGGAUAACAGCAUAAUUUUUUUAAAUAGUUCAUAUUGAUAAAAAAGGUUAUGACCUCGAUGUUGAAUUAUAAUUAAAUUAUUAUGAAAAAUUUAUAUAUUUUAGUCUGUUCGACUAAUAGAAUUAUACAUGAUUUGAGUUAAAAUCGGUGUAAGCCAGAUUGGAUUUUAUUUAUUAUUAAUAAAAUUUUAAUUGUACGAAAGGAUUUUAAAAUUU